RNAcentral lists this ribosomal RNA (468 nucleotides) under uncultured bacterium. Its description in RNAcentral is "partial 16S ribosomal RNA". It matches the Rfam family "Bacterial small subunit ribosomal RNA", at positions 28 to 507 of the family's 1533-position model. The record is from RNAcentral.
GACGAACGCUGGCGGCGUGCUUAACACAUGCAAGUCGAACGGAAAGGCCCUGCUUUUGUGGGUUGCUCGAGUGGCGAACGGGUGAGUAACACGUGAGUAACCUGCCCUUGACUUUGGGAUAACUUCAGGAAACUGGGGCUAAUACCGGAUAGGAGCUCCUGCUGCAUGGUGGGGGUUGGAAAGUUUCGGCGGUUGGGUAUGGACUCGCGGCUUAUCAGCUUGUUGGUGUGGUAGUGGCUUACCAAGGCUUUGACGGGUAGCCUGCCUGAGAGGGUGACCGGCCACAUUGGGACUGAGAUACGGCCCAGACUGCUACGGGCGGCAGCAGUGGGGAAUAUUGCACAAUGGGCGGAAGCCUGAUGCAGCAACGCCGCGUGCGGGAUGACGGCCUUCGGGUUGUAAACCGCUUUCGCCUGUGACGAAGCGUGAGUGACGGUAAUGGGUAAAGAAGCACCGGCUAACUACGUG